GAAGCUAUCCAAGGUUGGGUCCUCAUUC
This 28-nucleotide non-coding RNA is filed under the name Rattus norvegicus (Norway rat). Lineage: Eukaryota; Metazoa; Chordata; Mammalia; Rodentia; Muridae. The record is from RNAcentral.